AGAGUUUGAUCAUGGCUCAGGAUGAACGCUGGCGGCGUGCCUAACACAUGCAAGUCGAACGAACCUGAUUCUUCGGAUGAAAGGUUAGUGGCAAACGGGUGAGUAACACGUGGGUGACCUGCCCCGAAGUGGGGGAUAACUGUUGGAAACGGCAGCUAAUACCGCAUGUGCUCGAUGAUUCGGUUCAUCGAGUAAAGUUUUGGCGCUUCGGGAGGGGCCUGCGGCCGAUUAGCUAGUUGGUAGGGUAAUGGCCUACCAAGGCGAUGAUCGGUAGGGGGCGUGAGAGCGUGACCCCCCACACUGGGACUGA
RNAcentral lists this ribosomal RNA (310 nucleotides) under uncultured bacterium. Its description in RNAcentral is "bacterial SSU rRNA". It matches the Rfam family "Bacterial small subunit ribosomal RNA", at positions 8 to 322 of the family's 1533-position model. The record is from RNAcentral.